Molecule: ribosomal RNA, 497 nt
Filed under: uncultured bacterium
Lineage: Bacteria
Description: partial 16S ribosomal RNA
Rfam family: Bacterial small subunit ribosomal RNA
Source: RNAcentral
GAUGAACGCUGGCGGCGUGCCUAAUACAUGCAAGUCGAGCGAACAGACGAGGAGCUUGCUCCUCUGACGUUAGCGGCGGACGGGGGAGUAACACGUGGAUAACCUACCUAUAAGACUGGGAUAACUUCGGGAAACCGGAGCUAAUACCGGAUAAUAUAUUGAACCGCAUGGUUCAAUAGUGAAAGACGGUUUUGCUGUCACUUAUAGAUGGAUCCGCGCCGCAUUAGCUAGUUGGUAAGGUAACGGCUUACCAAGGCAACGAUGCGUAGCCGACCUGAGAGGGUGAUCGGCCACACUGGAACUGGGAAACGGUCCAGACUCCUACGGGAGGCAGCAGUAGGGAAUCUUCCGCAAUGGGCGGAAGCCUGGCGGAGCAACGCCGCGUGAGUGAAGAAGGUCUUCGGAUCGUAAAACUCUGUUAUUAGGGAAGAACAAAUGUGUAAGUAACUAUGCACGUCUUGACGGUACCUAAUCAGAAAGCCACGGCUAACUACGUG